CCCGUGCCAUAGGAGAUUAGGGAAAGUGGUAGGAGCUUUUGGUUUUCUUUAGGGCGUUUUGGGAUUGGAGAGUCCCUGGGAGACGAGAGCGGCACGAGGCGUUGCAGGUUCGUCCGCGGCCGCCGCGCUGGUCGGCGUGGUGGGCUAGAGAGUGGUACCUCUUCCAUUGGGGCGCGAGCAGGCGAGGGUAGCUACCUAGAGAAGCGAGCGCGCGGAGACUAAGCUCAAAACGACCGGAGCACGUCGGGCGCCGCGUCCGUGGCCCCUUCCGCCGAAGUCUCCUCUUCGUCGAACUGCUGUUCCUCGACCUCGAUCUCGCCCUCGCCUUUGACUUCUUUCUCGUCUUCCGAUCUCUCUUUCUCCUCUUUUUCGAGUUCCGUUUCGUUUUCCUCUGACGAUCCGAGGUCCGAGUCCGUUGAAGCCUACCUGGAUUCUUUUCACUCUUCUUCGUUUUCUUCUUCCGACGCCCCCUACUUUUGGGGCUCCUAAAGUAACUGGGACUCUGGGGAUCGCCCCUCUUCUUUAGCGAACGUGGAGUUUACCGAUUCGUCAUAUCGGGCUCGCGUCAACUUUUUAGCACCAUGAGGACCACCCUCAGUCGUCCUAUAAAACCCCGUCUGGGGCGUUCGUGUUUUGGUGGAAAACAAUAUCAAGAUGGUGGAGGCUUACACUGACCUCGCGAAGUAUAACCAGUACGUGAAUGACACCGAUAUCUCCUGCGAUACUAUUCCACCUCCUCUUACAGCCCUAUAUUACGAGACACCCAGGGUCCUCACCUGGUACGACCGUAACGAUGUGUCCAACAUCACCUUUUCUUCGAUUACGCACUUUCCUUCGACUGUUCCGUACUGUAUCCGGCACUGUUUAAAUAUAGACUUCAAGACUUUACCUUUCUAGUCAUGCCACCAUGGUAUGACCCAGUUAAUGCAUCCGAACCCCGAAGCGAACUAACCAGGGCACUCACAAAGUGUUACCUACUAGUUGCUAGCUUUCGACAUUGACUUCGUAAACAAUCCAACGUGUUUCUACCGGAUUAAAUAUCCCUAAUGGCGGAACACUUAACCCUGACGUGUGAAAAUUGUCGUUAUAGACUGUAUCUCCACCUAGUAGAUCUCGAAUUUCUCCUUUGAUACGACUUCCAGGGACCAAUAUCAUCAGGACAUGUCAAACCACACAACUAUAGGAAACGGAUAGGAGAACUUCUUCCUGAUCCACUUUAAUAACAGCGUUGUUGUUCUUAACUUUGUUACGAGCCACUAUGCCGUUAUCGACAAGUAGGACUCCUAUUUUCCAUAUUCGUAGACGUACCUUUCGUACGGUAAGUGGGCAAGUUACCGGCUUUUGAGUUUUAUUAGACACUACGACACAAUCACCUAGGGUGAAAGCCAUGACCCCGACAGUUCUAAUGUGGACGGGUACUGGGUUUACUGAAACUCCAACCUUUUGCUGUGUUGGAUCUCAAGUAGUUAUAGAAGUGUCUACUACCCUUCUAUUUGUCGUUACCUCCACGUGUUAAACUUCCUUACCGUUCUAAACGACGAGCCCAACGUCAAUAACUACGUGACUUCCUUUUCCCCAACAUGUUCCUGUGUUUUUUCUUACUUUACUUAAACCCGUAAACAAGUUCUUCAUUACUACAUCACCUUGGAUACUAUUUCGGAGUUACCAAACAAUUAACGGUAUGCUACCGUUUCCGUCCAGAACUACGACAUUCCAGGUUUUUUUAACUCUAAUAAGGCGUUGUUAUACUUGUUCUGACCAUGUCUACCGAACUUUUAUAUGCGCUAACCACACAAAGUUCCGUUGAGACCACCCCUGUAGCACAUGGACGCACCAUACACUGUGAUCUCCUACUCGUUAACUUACUAGACCCUAGUUUGUUACUGGCAACCUAUCAGCGUUCCUUACUUACACUACGUUACGAACUCCGUGUCUUUUUCAUAGGCCCCUUCUUUAAGGUCAAUUUAGUUCUAGGACUGCAAAACCUAUGAACCAAAAGUAGACCAGAGAAGGGUAACUGUCACGAACCAACCGGUCUACUAUGACGACUAGAAGCACGAAAGAUGGGAUGAAGUCAUGAACUUUGACCUGAACUAUAAGAGAAGAAGACCCACCGUGCAUACCACUACUACCCAUACGUUGAACCACCACUACACGGUAAAGUCUUCCACAUAAACGUAGGAUACUAGGCACUACGUGUACCGGCGUUUUACAGCUUCAGUGAACCAUUACAACAACUAGGGGAACUCCACUAUUUGCCAUGCUGUGAACUUCUAGAGGAUUUUGCAAACCUUCUUCCGUUGGACCUAGGUUUACUCAAUUCACAACGUUCUCUUCCCUUCUUCUUUCUAAAAGGACUACCGUAACGACUUACACCGUGACUACGUGAGGCAAAGCGUGACUAAAGAAUGUGAAGAGUCAGACUGUUCUAUUUAGAACUAUAGUUCUCCCAACAACCUAUAGCGGUUACCACGUUAUUUAACACCUUACGGUAAGCAAAACGUUACCCGUUCGAACCACUAGUAAUACGAGGUGGUCGUUGGUAACAACACAGAAGUUACGGGGGCCAGACGUUUACCUAUGAGAGCCAUGAGUUGUUCCGAUAACCGUUCUGACACUGGAGUAAUCUUCGUAUGUUCAAGCGACUACGUUGUAGACGAUAAAUGAGUACCACCGUUAUGGUCGAUACACUACAUAAAUAUCUUCGACAUUUUGGAAUGAAGAAGUUACUGAGAGUUCUCAAGCUAAGUCGUUCUCGACGAACAUCUCUACGGGAUACCCAAACGGAGCUGUUACCAAACGCAGACGAGGUGGGUAAGUACGGAAUACAUUGUCUUCUUGAGACCGUCGCGGAAGGAGUCGGGUUUCUAAGAACGUCUUUUUGAAGGUAAUACUAUAGUCUUAUAGGUAGACAACAAUUCCUUACCCGUCUACUAUUUGAACUUUCACUUAAACCAUAAUAGAACCUAUGACACUUGUUUGAUUCUAGAGACUUCGGUGGCUGUCUAUGUUUACUUUCCGCUGGACGAAAACGUGAAACAGCUCCGCUUCUAUAACGACGGUGACAAGUCACGAUAGUUAGAGAUCACCACAGAGAAAGAAGACAUAGCAGUGAAUUCUAGGACCGUCUCUCACUGCUUUGAGGUGGACUGACAAGCUGACGACAACAUUUGUUUCUAGACAGGCAUAUGGAAGUCGAAGUUCCUCGAGAUUUGCGCCUUCACCUCGAGCUUUUCGAUUCCUUUUUCUCCCUACUUUAGGUUUUCGAUGUCGUACGGGACAGAGUCUUCUACCUUCGCAGGCCAAUGUCUCUCUUCCGGGGCGGGUCGCAGGUUCUCCUCCUGUACUCCUUUGAGUGGCGGAAAAAGCUCGUUGACGCCCACUAACCACUUCGACUCUUCUUUGAUCUACGCAUUUGACCGUUACGAACUCAGUCGAGAGACAAAGAUAACUAAAACCUUUGAUUACCGUAAAAACAAAGCUUCGACUACAUGACGUGUCAAAAAACGCCUACCACCACGACACUAGUGUAAAUGUCUUUUAAGUUUACCUCGUUACUCUGAGGUUAAAGGGUGUAUACGGAAUGAAAACAUUUACUACAAAUAGAAGCUCACAGUCACAGUUAACUGAUAAAAAAUCACCAGUUCGGGAACUCUAAAAAAAACAACAACGUUUAAAGACGUAAGUUAAAC
RNAcentral lists this ribosomal RNA (3692 nucleotides) under Triticum aestivum (bread wheat). RNAcentral's name for it is "partial small subunit ribosomal RNA". Lineage: Eukaryota; Viridiplantae; Streptophyta; Magnoliopsida; Poales; Poaceae. The record is from RNAcentral.